Molecule: ribosomal RNA, 599 nt
Filed under: Dipturus nidarosiensis (Norwegian skate)
Lineage: Eukaryota; Metazoa; Chordata; Chondrichthyes; Rajiformes; Rajidae
Description: partial 16S ribosomal RNA
Rfam family: Bacterial large subunit ribosomal RNA
Source: RNAcentral
CAAAAACAUCGCCUCUUGCAAAUCUCAUAUAAGAGGUCCCGCCUGCCCUGUGACAUUGUUUAACGGCCGCGGUAUUAUGACCGUGCGAAGGUAGCGUAAUCACUUGUCUUUUAAUUGAAGACCUGUAUGAAAGGCAUCACGAGAGUUUACCUGUCUCUAUUUUCUAAUCAAUGAAAUUGAUUUCCCCGUGCAGAAGCGGGGAUAUAACCAUAAGACGAGAAGACCCUAUGGAGCUUUAAACACUUAAGUUACUAUCUUAUUUAUUAACUAACCUAAAGACUUAACCAUUCUAAUAGUAACCUAACUUAAUGUUUUCGGUUGGGGCGACCAAGGAGUAAAAGAAAACCUCCUUAUCGAUUGAGUAUUUUUACUUAAAAGUCAGAACGACAGUUCUGAUUAAUAGAAUAUCUAACGAAUAAUGACCCAGGGCUAUACCCUGAUCAAUGAACCAAGUUACCCUAGGGAUAACAGCGCAAUCCUUUCUAAGAGUCCCUAUCGCCGAAAGGGUUUACGACCUCGAUGUUGGAUCAGGACAUCCUAAUGGUGCAACCGCUAUUAAGGGUUCGUUUGUUCAACGAUUAAUAGUCCUACGUGAUCUG